This 301-nucleotide ribosomal RNA is filed under the name uncultured bacterium. Its description in RNAcentral is "partial 16S ribosomal RNA". It matches the Rfam family "Bacterial small subunit ribosomal RNA", at positions 509 to 807 of the family's 1533-position model. The record is from RNAcentral.
CAGUAGCCACGGUAACACGAGGGGGGCAAGCGUUGUUCGGAAUUAUUGGGCGUAAAGGGCGCGUAGGCGGUUUGGCAAGUUUCGUGUGAAAUCUUCGGGCUCAACUCGAAGUCUGCACGGAAAACUGCCGGGCUUGAGUAUGGGAGAGGUGAGUGGAAUUUCCGGUGUAGCGGUGAAAUGCGUAGAUAUCGGAAGGAACACCUGUGGCGAAAGCGGCUCACUGGACCAUUACUGACGCUGAGGCGCGAAAGCUAGGGGAGCAAACAGGAUUAGAUACCCGCGUAGUCCCUGUCUCUUAUAC